Molecule: long non-coding RNA, 101 nt
Organism: Thalassophryne amazonica
Lineage: Eukaryota; Metazoa; Chordata; Actinopteri; Batrachoidiformes; Batrachoididae
Exons: 4
Source: RefSeq, a predicted model, not a curated record
UAAUAGAUUACAAUUGGGGUCAGCGACAGAGACCAGGAGGAGUCGCUGUGCAACAGUAGUCAGUAAACCUCCCUCCCCAACAACUAAAAGGAUUCUCUGGC